CAGUAGCCGCGGUAAUACGGAGGGGGCUAGCGUUGUUCGGAAUUACUGGGCGUAAAGCGCACGUAGGCGGCUUGGUAAGUUAGAGGUGAAAGCCUGGAGCUCAACUCCAGAAUUGCCUUUAAGACUGCCGAGCUAGCAGGUGAGAGAGGUAAGUGGAAUUCCGAGUGUAGAGGUGAAAUUCGUAGAGAUCGGGAGGAACAUCAGUGGCGAAGGCGGCCAUCUGGGACAACACUGACGCUGAGGCACGAAAGCGUGGGGAGCAAACAGGAUUAGAUACCCGCGUAGUCCCUGUCUCUUAUAC
Molecule: ribosomal RNA, 301 nt
Filed under: uncultured bacterium
Lineage: Bacteria
Description: partial 16S ribosomal RNA
Rfam family: Bacterial small subunit ribosomal RNA
Source: RNAcentral